AUGGGCAGGGAGCUGCCCGCUCCCACCGAGGGGCGGGGCCGCGCCGCCGCCUCCCCGCCCGCCGGCAGGUGGCUGCGGGGCGCUCCCUGCGCCCGUCGGGUGUGCGCGGGGCGGGCCGGCCCCGAGCUGCGGGCGGGUCCCGGGGCGCCGGGAGCGGGGGUGCGGCUGCGUGAGGGGCCGGGGGGGGCAGCGCCGCGCUCCUGCGGAGGGAGCCGGGACGGGCGGCGGCGGGGCGAGGGCUGCCGGAGCCGCGAGGUUCGCCCCCACCGGCCCGGGAGGGCUGCCCCGAUCCAGCGCCCGGCGGGGUGCGGCGGUGCCCGAGUCCCAGUCGUGAAGCAGUCUGUGCUGCGCUGGGGACGAUUUGUUCAGAGCAGACAGGUCCCUGUGAUUAGAAAUGAGCUCGGUUUGGCAGGAAGCACGGAGGAAGGCUGGCAGACAGGCAGCGUGUCCCUUGCAUGCAAGAUUCCUCCAGAAGUAAAGAAGCACUGGUGGAGACAGUGCAACCCCUGGCAAGAAGCAGCAACGCUGUGCGACAAAGGAGGAAGCCACUUCCAGGUUAUGAAAACAUGCUGUUGAACUGAAUUUUGCAGCUGCGUUUUCAAAUGUACCAUGGGAUGCAUCAAAUCCAAAGAUGCCUUUGCAGGGUCAAACGCUAUCCGGGUGGAAGGGAGCAGGGAAGGUGAUGAAGGGCGCACCGGGGAGAAAUCAUCACUGAUAGCAGGGAUGGUGGAUGAGAAGGGUCCGUCGAGCGCCAUAGUGCUGGACUACGCACACCGCCUCUCCCACGAGAUUCUCGAUCAGGCAGUGAAGCAAUGGGCAGUGACAGAGAGCAAAUACAGUGACAUCCCUUUCAUUGAGAGCGAUGUGCCCUGAGCCUGGCCGGCACGGACUGGCUUCAGUGAGCAUCUGUCUGUGAGCAGCUCGUGUUUGGUGCCGGUGCAAGUUGAGUGAAGUCAGCUGUGACCGAGCAGAGUGCUCCUCUGAAUGUGUUUGCAAGGAGAGGCUGGAAAAAAUUGCCUUUUAAUCUUUCUUGCUAGGAAACCCUGUGGAUUACAGUAGAACCUAUUAAUCAAGUGUUGUUUGUUAUCAGCCGUAUGAUGAGUGUUGUCUGUCUUUGUAUGUGUUGAGUGAUCAGAAAUUAGUGUUAAAAAAGAAAAUGGGAAGAACGCAGCUGCCUCGCAACUGUAGGAGCACUGCCACAGAGGCCCCAGAGAUGCUUAAGAACAAAGCAUGGAUUAUAUUUAUGUACUGCAUAAAAAAUAUAUGGCCUGUUUGUAGGUGACGAGGAGAACGGUGUGCUUGGCAAACUUGUCUGUGUUCUGCUGAAGUGAAACCAGGACCUCUAUGUAACCAAGGCAGCUGCUGUUGUAACCUUCACUUUGAUUCUCUGACCCGAGCAGGCCUACAAACCAGAAAAUAACGAAGGUGGUGAGAAGCGUUUUAUAAAACCAAAUAGUAUUCAGGGAACCAUAUGGAUUAUGAUCCUACGCAACUUCCAUUCUUAAUAGAACCAGUGAGAAACACUAUGAUAUUGAUAAAUAGUGCAUUGUAAUUAAGUUAACAGAUGCUCUGGCUUCUGUAAAUGCAUGAAGGCUAUUCUCUAAAAUCUUGCCGUAAGACUUUAAUUACAUUUGAUCGCUGCAUUCAGGCCAAAGCUGUUUGCUUUGCUCUUUUUUUUUUUUUUUUUGGUUAGGGGGCUGCCUUGAUUUCAUGGGACUAUGGCUGCAUUAUGCUCAUUAUGCUGACCUUUCAAUCCAGCAUCACACCCUCAGAACAGCUGGCCUUUGCUUUCCUUCAGGAGCACAUCCCCACGGGUAGAGCCACAUACACCAAAGCACAGCCGAGCUGUGGGAGCCUGAGGCCUGAGCAGAACACUGGGCCGGUGAGCGAGCCUGGGGCUCCAGGCUCUCGGGCUGCUGCAUUCAUCAGCGGUUCUGUUGAGCUCGUAGCCCCACGCUGCAGCCCGCCCCUCCGGGGCCUGGGGCCUGACCUACUGCACUGCUCUCCGGGGUUGGAUUUGGAGGAGGCGGCAAACCGGUCUCCUUAGACCUACCGCUCUGCUGCCGUUUUAGGCAAAGUGAAUGCCUCGUAGGAAGCUUGUGUUUUUUUAGCACCCAUUGGCUCCUUUUCCUGUUAAGGCCAAUGUAUCGGCCAUGUCAUUUUUUUUCCUGCAUCCAAGUGCUUUCCAUUUUAUGUUUUCAUUUUACAGAAAAAAAAAAAAAAACACUUUCCAUACUGGCAAAAACUGUUACUAUUUUUACAAGGUACACAGCGUCCUCGUGACUGAUAGAAGUAUGAUUCUGAAGCGGUGGUAAGCAGCAGCAGGAGGACCAUUUCCAGCGUUAUUUUUAGCUUACUCUCACACGUGAAUUGAGAGGGAACACGGCUGUUUUGCAAACUUUCUGACACAAACUUAAUCACUUGAAAUUCAUCUGGUGGGAAGUGGCUGCGUCUAGAGUGAAUGGUCAGAAAUACUUAUUUGUAGCUCAGCACGUGACUGCCAUUGACUUGCGCUGUCCAGGUGGGGCCCGGCCGCUGGGCUGUCCUCAGGCUGGGGCUGAAAAAGGGAAAAAAUCGGCUUCUGUUGUAAUGGCAUCUCUGAAGUCACAGGUGAAGCGGCUGAAGGUAUCCUGCUUGUUUGAAUUCUGCUGCUGGCGGUGCUGCCCCUUUAAGCACUAAUGCGUGGAAAUAUUACUUACAUUUGCCGUAUCUGAAAAACUCCAUGCCAAAUGCAAGGGUGAACAGAAAUGCAAAACCAGAAAAGGAGCAGAAAUAAAAGGGAAAGCAGCCUGAAGUACA
RNAcentral lists this long non-coding RNA (2799 nucleotides) under Numida meleagris (helmeted guineafowl). RNAcentral's name for it is "lncRNA (ENSNMEG00000018458.1)". Lineage: Eukaryota; Metazoa; Chordata; Aves; Galliformes; Numididae. The record is from RNAcentral.